GCGCGUUCGCCGGUCGCUCUUUACACCGGACACCAGUUCUCCCGGGAAAGGAGCGGCAGGUAAGCCCGACUCCGGACAGGCGUUGGGCUGGACAGCAACCUCAGAAGGAAGAGGGAAAGUACCUGAUAGCUUCGUAGGUGCGCAAUAAAUAUCUGAUGACCGGCCGAAUAAAUGUGACCUUUGGACAGGUCGCUCGACAGUGUGUAUGCCCCAUCACAGGCCUCCAGACCUCCCAGCCACACAUUCCCUAAGCGCAAGCGACUGCAUAGCCCUACGUGUAUAUUUCUCCCCAAACGGGCGCCCUACUUUGGGCGAUUAUGUGACAUGUGUCACCCAGGACUCUAAUCCCCGCGGCCCCUAAAACUGCAGGCCAAGAGGGGCCAUUUCAGGCUUCCUCCCUUUUUUUGUUUUCGAAGAGAAAGAGGGAUGAGGUGGACAGGAGGUGUGGGGUGAGAGAGGCGUGAAGCGUCAAUGCGCUCCCGGGUGACCCGGCCGGCCAGCCGGCCGGGUCGUGGGGCAGCGGGCGGCUGUCACCCAGCGGGGCGCCCGGGGGUGCGGCCCUCGGCCAAAGCGAGAGACUGGACGCGCUGGCUUGUCCUGGACUGGCUGGCUGGCUGAUGCAAAAAGAAGAGGUGAGAGUGGGAAGUCCCAGCCCAAGGGGACUGUGUUUCCAAAGGGAGUGUGCUUUUUUUUUUUUUUAAUCCUUCUUUUUUCGAAAAUACCUGUCUUUAGUCAAGAUACAAGGGAGCCACGCGUCAUUCGGAUUCCCUCACUUCAUCCCUCGAACGGCCUGCGGGAAAUUUCCUAGGUCGUUUUCUUUUUUGUUUUUCCCUCCCCGAUUUUCCUCAACUAAAAAUCUUUCAGGCAUUUUCGCUGAAGGUGCUUUUGCCUUGCUGAUUUAAAAAUACAAACAAAAUCAGCGCUCCACGCAGCGGCGCCUCGCUGGCAGCUGACUCCGCAGGGCCUGGGGGCUCGCACCAGCGGGCAGAGCUUCCUCCGCAGAUCGCGGAUUCGCACCUGCGCUUCCUCCCCGCAUCCCAGCACCUUUCGGUUUCGGGGUGUUCAGUCCCAGGGAGGGCACCGACGAGAAAGAGCUGAGGUUCCCAGGGCGGCUUUGUAGGAUUCCCCGAGGGGAGGGUGGGCACUAUAGCGAUGACUUCAUCUCAGCCUGAAGGGACUCCAGCAGCUACUGCCUCUAAGAUGUUCUAUGGGGUGGGUGAUUAUUUCAGAUCUGUAUUAAUCGGGGGAAAUGUCUCCAUCAAACUGUGGAAAAGGAGAAAUGUUAUUAACAUACAAUCCCGAAGGUAACUGUUUGAAUUAAAGACGGAUUCUCUUGUGUCUUUCUCGCACUCCUUUUCUAUCUCAGCGGGACCCGGGAGGCUCCGGGGCAGAGAGCAUCUCCUGAUUCCUAGAACCUGUAGAUUCUUGGGGCCACAUCGGGCGUCCUUUCUGCUGCGGGUUGGGCUCCGCUGUGGAGCGGCGUGAGCGAGGCGCGAGGGCAGACGCGCGCAGCCUGGUCGCCUGCCCUCUGGUCGCUGCUCCCGAGGCAGCACCUUCUGCCCGGAGGGCCCCAGGAGGACCAAGCUCCUGGGGUCAGCCUCCAACUUGUGAGUGUCCGCGAGACUGACGUCUUAAGGCUGGGGGCUUUGGCUAUAGAGGGUUCUCGGAGAUGUGACGUCACAAAGACUGCAGCGGGUAGACGGACACGGAGCCUUGACAGCCCCGGGGUUUCGAGAAGUGAGGGGUCACAAGGAACCCGGGGAUCGCUGGGCUUCCGGCUUUGUCAUUGUUUAUUUCGAAUUAAUUUCGUGUUGUGCGUCUCUGUUUGCAAGCCCGCAGGAGAGACGCAGCGAAUACCCGAUUGAUUCCAUCCCCGGUUUGUUUGAAGGGAGGAGCAAGGGGCGCCUCUGGUGCUCUCACAGCCUUCAAUAGCUCCAAUAGACAGAUCACGGAUUUUGAGAACGCAGUUUUUUCCUUUUCUUUCCUUUUUUUUUUUUACUUUCUCUCUUUGACGUUUUUCUUCCAAGGCCCUUUCACUGAUGUAAAAGGACUAAGUGGACUCUUACGUCUCUUUUUUACCUGUCCCCAACUCCUGUUUUCUUUUUUUUUCUUGAUGAGUGUGAAAUUUGGCCUGGCAUAGGUGAAAGGGACCCUUUUUUUGGUCCCUCUCUUAAAUCAUUAAGACCCAGAAAAUUUCACAGUAUCUCUAUCACUAUCUUUAGGACAAAAUGUGUUUACAUCCAGUGGAAAAGGCGCAUUGUUUUCUUUCACGCUGAGCCCUAGGACUGGAACCUGCUUCUCCACCAGUUUCCAGGUUGGCUGAAAGGAUUACCUGGCACUUCCUCAAGCAAAGUCACCUUGGAACAAGACACGGGAGGGUCCAGCCUUGAAGGCAUUGUAUCCAUGACAUCCACCGGAGGAGCUAAAGAAAACAUCCACAGGUUGUUGUGAACAGUUCCAGUCCACCAGUAUCCAGUGACUCCUUAAGGACAAGGAAGUGUAUGAAAAAGAGUGUCACUGAGCGACCAAGAUGGCUCAGGCCCCGCUGCAUGGGAGCUGGGCAUUUCUGUGGAGUGAGAACACCGCAGGGUUGGGAACCAUCUUAAACAACCCCCUCUAAAUUGACUAGGGACAAGAAAUAAAAAGGCUAGACAGAUACAAGUGUAGAGGGAAGCAGACAGCAAUGUCAAGG
Molecule: long non-coding RNA, 2692 nt
Organism: Equus caballus (horse)
Lineage: Eukaryota; Metazoa; Chordata; Mammalia; Perissodactyla; Equidae
Source: Ensembl